CACUGUGGCGCCGCCGGCAGCGAAGCCGCGCGCCGCCAUGUUUGAUUCGGGCCGAGGGCUCUUGGCGCAGGGCGCUGAGGCGGCGGCCAUUUUGAGUGUAUCCAGUGUCCUGUGAAAUGCUGAAGGGCAAACCUGGAGAAGGGAUGAAAUCCCUCUGCUUUUAUCCCAGCAGGGAGGAAGUGGGGAGCAGUUUGUGUGGUGCCAUCUCAGCCCAGCUCUGGGGGGUUGAGUUACCCAAAGGUUGGGAUGAAGCUGCAGAGCUGGAAAUACCCAGAUGUGAAGAUCCAGGAUAGCUGCUGCUUUGACUUCCCCGUCUUCAGAAGGUGAGUGGAGGUGGGCUCCCUCUGGUUUGGGUUCCUGAUUAAUCACUUUCAUACCUGGAUUUAGGUGCAGGUGACAGCAGCACCAGGGAUCUCUUGGAAAGACUGAAGAAUUCCUGAUCCAGUGUGAUGUCUGUGGGUUGGGUUAUUCCCACUUCUCCAGUGGGAUAACUGGGAAUGGCUGCUGUUUGCGGCUGGAUUUUUGGCAGAGCCUCAGCCACCUGACCCAUGUUAGGCUGGAGCUGAGCAGGGCUUGGAGCCUCAGUUACUCUGUCACCAGCCUGACCUUAGUUCUUGUCCUGGUGCAGUGAGUGAUGUGCAAGCAGGGCAGGGCAGACUGGGAUCCCAGGGGAUGGAGUGGG
Empidonax traillii (willow flycatcher) is the source of this 682-nucleotide long non-coding RNA. RefSeq lists it as uncharacterized. The transcript has 3 exons. The record is from RefSeq and is a predicted model, not a curated record. Lineage: Eukaryota; Metazoa; Chordata; Aves; Passeriformes; Tyrannidae.